GAUGAAGAACGUAGCGAAAUGCGAUAAGUAAUGUGAAUUGCAGAAUUCAGUGAAUCAUCGAAUCUUUGAACGCACAUUGCGCCCGCCAGCAUUCUGGCGGGCAUGCCUGUUCGAGCGUCAUUUCAACCCUCAAGCUCUGCUUGGUGUUGGGGCCCUACGGUUACGUAGGCCCUUAAAGGUAGUGGCGGACCCUCUCGGAGCCUCCUUUGCGUAGUAACUAACGUCUCGCAUUGGGAUUCGGAGGGACUCUUGCCGUAAAACCCCCAAAUUUUCUAAUGGUUGACCUCGGAUCAGGUAGGAAUACCCGCUGAACUUAAGCAUAUCAAUAAGCGGAGGA
RNAcentral lists this unclassified non-coding RNA (337 nucleotides) under soil metagenome. Its description in RNAcentral is "partial contains 5.8S ribosomal RNA, internal transcribed spacer 2, and large subunit ribosomal RNA". The stretch from base 1 to 120 matches the Rfam family "5.8S ribosomal RNA", at positions 35 to 154 of the family's 154-position model. The record is from RNAcentral.